UCAAACUUGAGAGUUUGAUCCUGGCUCAGAGUGAACGCUAGUGGCGUGCUUAACACAUGCAAGUCGAACGGACGAUAUUUGUGCUUGCACAAAUAAAGUUAGUGGCAAACGGGUGAGUAAUACAUGAGAAUUUUCCUUGCAGUACGGAAUAACUAUUGGAAACAGUAGCUAAUACCGUAUAUUGCCGAGAGGUGAAAGAUUUAUCGCUGCAAGAUAAGCCCAUGCAAGAUUAGCUUGUUGGUAAGGUAAUGGCUUACCAAGGCUACGAUCUUUAGCUGGUUUGAGAGGAUGAUCAGCCACACUGGAACUUAGACACGGUCCAGACUCCUACGGGAGGCAGCAGUGAGGAAUAUUGGACAAUAGGCGAAAGCCUGAUCCAGCGACGUCACGUGAAUGAUGAAGGCCUUAGGGUUGUAAAAUUCUUUUAGUGGAGAAGAUAAUGACGGUAUCCACAGAAAAAGUCCCGGCUAACUUCGUGCCAGCAGCCGCGGUAAUACGAAGGGGGCAAGCGUUACUCGGAAUUAUUGGGCGUAAAGCGUGCGUAGGCGGUUUUAUAAGUUGAAAGUGAAAGCCUUUGGCUCAACCAAAGAAUUGCUUACAAAACUGUAAAACUAGAGUAUUAGAGAGGAUAGAAGAAUUCCUGAUGUAGGGGUGAAAUCCGUAGAUAUCAGGAGGAAUAUCGAAGGCGAAAGCAUCUGUCUGGCUAAAUACUGACGCUGUUGCACGAAAGCGUGGGGAGCAAACAGGAUUAGAUACCCUGGUAGUCCACGCAGUAAACGAUGAGUGCUAGAUGUUAGAACUAUGUUUUAGCGUCGAAGCUAACGCAUUAAGCACUCCGCCUGGGAACUACGAUCGCAAGGUUAAAACUCAAAGGAAUUGACGGGGACCCGCACAAGCGGUGGAACAUGUGGUUUAAUUCGAUGCUACGCGAAAAACCUUACCAAGUCUUGACAUGUUAGUCGUAUGAUUAGGAAACUAGUCAGUCAGUUCGGCUGGACUAUCACAGGUGUUGCAUGGCUGUCGUCAGCUCGUGUCGUGAGAUGUUGGGUUAAGUCCCGCAACGAGCGCAACCCUUAUCUUUAAUUGCCAACAGGUUAUGCUGGGAACUUUAAAGAAACUGCCAAUGGAGAAUUGGAGGAAGGUGAGGAUAAUGUCAAGUCAGUAUGGCCCUUAUGACUUGGGCUACACACGUGUUACAAUGGUAGCCACAAUAUGAUGCAAUAGGGUGACCUGGAGCAAAUCUAUAAAAGCUACCUCAGUUCGGAUUGUACCCUGCAACUCGGGUGCAUGAAGUUGGAAUCGCUAGUAAUCGCAGAUCAGCACGCUGCGGUGAAUACGUUCCCGGGUCUUGUACACACUGCCCGUCAAGCCAUGGAAGUUAAAUUUUCCUUAAGUAAAUGAGCUAACUGCAAAGAGGCAGUUUACCAAGGAGAGUUUGAUGACUGAGGUUAAGUCGUAACAAGGUAGCCGUAGGGGAACCUGCGGCUGGAUUACCUCCUAA
This 1501-nucleotide ribosomal RNA is filed under the name Candidatus Aquarickettsia rohweri. RNAcentral describes it as "bacterial SSU rRNA". It matches the Rfam family "Bacterial small subunit ribosomal RNA". The record is from RNAcentral. Lineage: Bacteria; Pseudomonadati; Pseudomonadota; Alphaproteobacteria; Rickettsiales; Candidatus Midichloriaceae.